CCUCCGAGCCGGCGCCAUUGCUGGAAGUGUUCCCGCCCUGCUCUGCGAGUGCCCUCAGUUGUCCUCAGUUCGGCAGCCAGCUGUGUCUCUGCAGGACUCCACUCUCGCCAGAGAGGGGAACACAGAGAUCAUGGCUGCUGGGGUCUUUUCUCUUGGACCUCUGGAGACCGUUGGCACUUGAGACUCUGCUGUGGGUCACUGCUGUGUCGCUGAGUGAUCGUAUCCUGUAUCCCUUCAGAAUCCUGAAGUUUCCAAGCCAGAUGAAGACCUUCACCUUCAGGCCGAAGAACCAGAAUUGGUAAAGGUAAUACCUAACACAUUACAUGAGGGGAAUAAAGUGCCUCUUUUACUGUGCCUGCUUCUUAAUGUUCCUAGUUUGUUGCAAGUUUGCAGUGAGUACCGUCUUGCUUGAUAGGUGUAUAACCCCACCAGUGUGAUAGAUUUCAUUUCCCUCGGUGGCAGCCCUAAUGUGGCAGAUACGUCACAUCUUAACUGCUGCUCAUAAAGUAGUCCGUAUCACGUGCUCUGAUUCUUGCUUUGCAUCAUGAGACUCGACACCAUUAAAAAUAUCAAGAAUACAUCAACAUCAGUGGAAAUAUUCUUAAGAGGUGUUUCAAUUGGUGUCGAUUUUUUUUAAUGUUUUAUUUAUUUUUGAUACAGAGAGAGACAGAGCAUGAGAGAGGGAGGGUCAGAGAGAGAGGGAGACACAGAACCAGAAGCAGGCUCCAGGCUCUGAGCUAGCUGUCAGCACAGAGCCCGACGCGGGGCUCCAACCCACGAUCGUGAGAUCUGACCUGAGCUGAAGCCGGACGCUUAACCGACUGAGCCACCCAGUCGCCCCUGGUGUCUCAGUGGUGAUUUUUUAUUGCAUUAUAUUGUUAAGCUGACUUUCUUAUUCAUGAGUAUAAAAUCCAACUGAUUUUUUCCAGAAAAUAUCAAAGUCAGAAAUGUAUGAAAUAUGUUGAGAAAAAUUAUCUAACAUUUAUCUAAGUUUUAGACAAAAGGUAAAUGUAUGCCCUUUCGGUGUCAUAUUGGACCACUGUCUAACCAGCCUGGGUGAGGGUCAUCUGACAUAGCACAGAGGGUUCUGUUGUUUGAUGUACUAGUUACUGUUGGUUAAUAGCCAGACCCUCAAAGUCCUAUGUUAACUUGUAGAACAUUGAAAAUUUGCAAAUUAUUUUACCUAGGAGAAAAAAAUCACCCCCAAGUUUAUGGUUUUAUUAUCUCUGUAGGACAUUCACCAGGUUUCUAACUAAUUUUGCAGUCUUAUUCCAGGAUUCUUUCUUCUGAAGUCAGUAGACAGCUGUUUUUGUGCCUCCUUUGAGCCAGCUUUGUCAAGCAGCUGAUCUCUCAUUACUGACCUCAGUAAAACUUUGGCACAUGUUGACAAUACUUGUAGAAUUAUGGGGCUUGAUUUUUUUUAAUUUUUUUAUUGAAGUAGAGUUGACAUACAGGAUUAUAUUAGUUUCAGUUGUACAGCAUAGUGAUUGGAUGUAACUCUGUACAUAACACAGUGCUCAUCACAAUAAGUGUGGUUACUAUUACCAAAGUUAUAGUAUUAUUGUCUGUACUCUAUGCUAUACUUUUCAUCUCUGUCAUUUAUUUUAUAACUGGAAGUUCGUGCCUCUUAAUUCCCUUUACCUGUUUCACCCAUUCUCUCACCCUCCCCCAAAACCACCAUUUUGUUCUCUGUAUUUAAGAGUCUGUUUCUAGUUUUUGUUUGUUCAUUUGUUUUCUUUUUUAG
Molecule: long non-coding RNA, 1744 nt
Organism: Suricata suricatta (meerkat)
Lineage: Eukaryota; Metazoa; Chordata; Mammalia; Carnivora; Herpestidae
Source: Ensembl